CUGAGGCUGUGGCUCCCUGGAUGUGGCUGUCCUGACAGCUGCCCAAGGCAAGCCAGACACCUUCACUCAGAGGUACAGAGAGACUUUUUGCAGCGCGUGGAUUUAAGGGCAGAGCAUCAACCCCAAGUUGGCGGGCCUGAUUGGGCGGCACGGGCCCCAGAACAAGCAGCCCUUCAUGGUGGCUUUCUUCAAGGCCACGGAGGUCCACUUCCGCAGCAUCCGGUCCACGGGGAGCAAACAGCGCAGCCAGAACCGCUCCAAGACGCCCAAGAACCAGGAAGCCCUGCGGAUGGCCAACGUGGCAGCCCUCAUCUCCAUGUAAGUCAUGUGCACUCACUUAUCUAUGACCCGCCUCUCGUUCUGGAAAAGCCCCUGAGUGGCAGGGCUUUGCUGUCUUACACCUGGGACUCAUCUCAUGCCUGCACACCAGGAAGCAGCCCCUAGCAAUGGCUGAAUGAAUGAGUGACUCCACAAGGCAUGCAGGCCGCGAGGGCAGGGCACCCAGGGGCAAGCGCUCCUGCCCCAAAGCCUGGAGCCCACCAGCCCCGCCCCAGCCUUCAGCAAGUUCACUUCACCGAAAGUCUCAAGUGUCUCCUCAGGAAUCACACAUGUGAUUCGGUUAUAAUCAAUUAAAUGUAAUUUCGUUA
Molecule: long non-coding RNA, 647 nt
Filed under: Homo sapiens (human)
Lineage: Eukaryota; Metazoa; Chordata; Mammalia; Primates; Hominidae
Description: non-protein coding lnc-MTRNR2L3-4:1
Source: RNAcentral